This 97-nucleotide transfer RNA is filed under the name Alienimonas californiensis. RNAcentral describes it as "Planctomycetes bacterium CA12 tRNA-Thr". The record is from RNAcentral. Lineage: Bacteria; Pseudomonadati; Planctomycetota; Planctomycetia; Planctomycetales; Planctomycetaceae.
GCCUGAUCGUCCGGCGGCUCCGGCCGCGUCGGCCAGUAGCCGUCCGGGUGCGGCGGCGAGACGUGCCCCGGCCGUUCGCUGUAGUCGAUCAGGUCCC